CCCCCCCUCCUUUCCUCCCUUUUCCAUUGCACCAAAGUGAUCCUAAUUUUCAAAACCCUAUUUUUAUUUUCUUUUCACUUUCCACUCUCUCUCGCGUCACCUCCAUUUCUCUCUCCCAAAACCCUAAUCCUCUCAUCUCCCAUCUUCCCCACCUCCAGCUCUCUCGACCUCACCACACACCAUAACCACAAGCCACCACCACUCUCUCUCUCUGUUAAAGGCCAUCGCCUCGCCAUCUCCGGCCGAACUCAAGGCCGUCUCUGGCGAAUCGCAGACCGAUUCUCGGUUUCUCUCUCUCGGUCUCAUCUAUUCUCCCUCGGUUUCAUCUCCGGUCGAUUCUCGGCCAAGGGCCACUGUUCACUCUCUCCUUCUCGGAUUUUCCUCUCUGCUCUUCUGUCCUCCUCGGACACCAAAGGAACGGUAGAGAGAAGUGGUUCACCAUUCACCAUGGGGAAAAAAAAGAGUAAAAAGGGUGGCAGUCAAUGUGUGAGGUGGUAUAGGCGUUGACGUACACAUUAUAGAUGGAAAAGAAAAGUGUUACUUGACCCCGUUUGGCAUCGUGACCAUCCCCAAAAAAAUUGAAGAUCUGGAAGAACAUGCAGCGCAUGUGUUACUUUUGCAUCAGCUUUAUCGAGUGGACUCGGGUGGCUCGGGGCUAUACGAAAAUUUUGAAGAAGAUCUAUCUUCAUGGCUUAAAAAGAAUUCCGUAACAUAUGUCAACAGCCAUCGGCGGCGGUUUGUACAACUAAGGAAACAAAGAAAUUGAUUAUGGGAAUUUUAUCGUGCGUCCUCAUGCUCCAUGAAUGUGGAUAUUGUUUAAUUGGAGAUAUAAGAAGUGAAGAAAUUGGUGUAAAAAAAGGCAUUCCGAAACUAUCUGUCAAAACAAAAAAAUGGAAUAGCCAAGGAGAUCAAGUCAGGGACUUAUCCAUUGCUGAAUUAAUCCGCAAUCAUAUUUUCAAAAACACCUCCAAUUUGCCAUCUGAUAUGGAUGAGUCCUGUAAUCUUCUUGAUGAUGGAAGGCUUGAUGGGGAUAAAUUGUACCUUUUACCUCGCCAUUUUUGUUUGAUGAGUCAUUUGGAGCGUAUUGAUUUCUGUUCGAGGGUUUUGUCUGAAGUCGAUUCUCUAGGUGCUGUCCAUGCACAGCAAAUCGUGACGGCGGUGAAUGCAUAUGAUUUCAAGAUGGGGGCAGUGAUUGGCGCAAGCUGAUUCCACUAGGGUCAGAAGCUUAUGCUGUGUACAAAAUUAGGAGCUAUAAUGCAGACAACUGGACUCAUUUGACAUUUAUAAUGAACCUCAGGCACCGAUUGGUUCCCCGGAAACUCUAUGAUAGUAAGAAUAAUGCUGUGUCUCAGUAUUCUUACUUGAGUACUAAGCAACUGGGUAAGAAUGCAAAGUAUGUUGAUGACUGCAUUUCGGCUCUUUUCCCUAAAUCCAUGGCACGCGUGCAAGCCUUAAUGAGGACAGAGCAGAUACUCGAAACCUUCCUGUAAGGUUUAGACAUCACGCUGACUUCCAUUGUUUUGAUCUGAAGCUGAAGAUGACUUUUCAAGAGGAGUUUGGUUUUUUUCUUUCUUCCUUAGAGAGGAAUAUUUGAAUAUAUAUCCUUUUUUGAGAAGGAAUGAAGCUUUCACUCCAUUUGUUUUGUUUUGGGAAGGAUUAAAUUGUGGUGUUGAAUUGAAUUAUUUGUUUGGAUGUCCUUUCUAGGGUUAUUGAUUGUUCCUUAUGGUUGCAGACUUUCAAAUUGAGUGAAAGCUUCAUUGCACAA
This is a long non-coding RNA of Cornus florida, 1765 nucleotides long. RefSeq lists it as uncharacterized. The record is from RefSeq and is a predicted model, not a curated record. The transcript has 6 exons. NCBI's taxonomy places the organism in Eukaryota, Viridiplantae, Streptophyta, Magnoliopsida, Cornales, Cornaceae.